AUUGAACGCUGGCGGCAGGCCUAACACAUGCAAGUCGAGCGGAUGAAGGGAGCUUGCUCCUGGAUUCAGCGGCGGACGGGUGAGUAAUGCCUAGGAAUCUGCCUGGUAGUGGGGGAUAACGUCCGGAAACGGGCGCUAAUACCGCAUACGUCCUGAGGGAGAGAGUGGGGGAUCUUCGGACCUCACGCCAUCAGAUGAGCCUAGGUCGGAUUAGCUAGUUGGUGGGGUAAAGGCCUACCAAGGCGACGAUCCGUAACUGGUCUGAGAGGAUGAUCAGUCACACUGGAACUGAGACACGGUCCAGACUCCUACGGGAGGCAGCAGUGGGGAAUAUUGGACAAUGGGCGAAAGCCUGAUCCAGCCAUGCCGCGUGUGUGAAGAAGGUCUUCGGAUUGUAAAGCACUUUAAGUUGGGAGGAAGGGCAGUAAGUUAAUACCUUGCUGUUUUGACGUUACCAACAGAAUAAGCACCGGCUAACUUCGUG
This 484-nucleotide ribosomal RNA is filed under the name uncultured bacterium. RNAcentral describes it as "partial 16S ribosomal RNA". It matches the Rfam family "Bacterial small subunit ribosomal RNA", at positions 30 to 507 of the family's 1533-position model. The record is from RNAcentral.